RNAcentral lists this ribosomal RNA (253 nucleotides) under uncultured bacterium. RNAcentral's name for it is "partial 16S ribosomal RNA". It matches the Rfam family "Bacterial small subunit ribosomal RNA", at positions 524 to 776 of the family's 1533-position model. The record is from RNAcentral.
UACAGAGGUCCCAAGCGUUGUUCGGAUUCAUUGGGCGUAAAGGGUGCGUAGGUGGCGCUGUAAGUCGGGUGUGAAAUUUCGGAGCUUAACUCCGAAACUGCAUUCGAUACUGCGGUGCUUGAGGACUGGAGAGGAGACUGGAAUUCAUGGUGUAGCAGUGAAAUGCGUAGAGAUCAUGAGGAAGACCAGUGGCGAAGGCGGGUCUCUGGGCAACAACUGACGCUGAGGAGCGAAAGCGUGGGGAGCGAACAGG